Small nuclear RNA from Peromyscus californicus insignis, 106 nucleotides. Lineage: Eukaryota; Metazoa; Chordata; Mammalia; Rodentia; Cricetidae. The record is from RefSeq and is a predicted model, not a curated record.
GUGCUCACUUUGGCAGCACAUAACUAAAAUUGAAAUAAUACAAGGAAGAUUAGCACGGCCCCUGCGUGAGGAGGACAAGCAAAUUCAUAAAGCGUCCCAUAUUUUU